UCACCUGAAAGUAAGAAAAUAGACAAGGGUGCUGGUAAAAAAAGAUCUGGUUCAGAUGCAGUGAACACAAUACGUUAAAAAAAACAACAUCUUAAGACCAUUCGGACCCUAAUGCGAACAAACUCCGCAUUUUCUCCCAGACAAUCUCGCCUGCUUCUCCCCAAAAUAACGCCCCACUUGUACCCGAACAAAAACUUCAUUUUUAUCGCUCAACUUUGAAACGAGGACCCCGCCUAAGAAAAUAUAUAUUAAAAAUGGACAUUUUCAAAAGGCAAAAGUCAAACAAAUAAUGGACGAGAGAGUUUCUUUUGUAUUUUGUUAUUGUGCCUAGACCCUUUCGCUGUUACGAAACAAUGAACACACAGCCAGAAAGCCGAAUAAUCAUUAUUUCCCCAAAAAAGAAAAUGCUAAAAACCGUUUUGCAAAUAAAAUAGAUGUAUUCAUUACAAAUAGGUUUAUGGUCGUAAUUUCUGGGAAAACCUUAUUUCGGGACCGGAUUUCGCAUCGUAUAUACACAAUCAUAAAUCCGGUAUUAAAAGAUAAUAACAGCGCUCAACCGCUUUAUGUCCUUAAUAAAAUCUAGGGACGACUCUAUCCAAAUCUCUAUGACGGUAAUUGAGAAUAAACCGCUCUAAUUUUAUUAGAAGCCAUGAAAAUUUCGAGGUCGUUAACGGGAAUUUCAAAUGGAGAAUUUAUAUUAAGGAAAAUGAUUAUAUGAAAGAGUUAUUGGGUUAUUCUUAUUAAUUAAAAAGCAUGAUAUUCUUCACAAAUGUUGAUUAAGCCUUAAGCUUGUUUAGAGUUAGCUAAUUUUUUCUGGAAUAUCCAGUAAGAAAAUCAAAAUUUAGAUCCUACUAAACCUUGACCCAAAAUUGACCCAACAUUUCAAAAUAUCGAACAUUUUUAGUAAUGGCUUCUAAGGACUGGGUCUGGAUUUUAAGGUGAACACUCACUUCAAAGUCUGAAAUCUAAAAAACUCGUGCUAUUUUCUUCCAAUAAAAAGCUCUGAUAUUCAGAAGAGUAUUCUUUAUAAUAAUGUUUCUUUAGAUUGAAACUAAUCUAGGCAAAGGUUUUAGAGAUAUCGAACUUUUAAAAUAGUGGUGUCAUGGAAUAAGGUCUGGUGCCUAAAUAAAUAAAUGGACGCCACUGAAUGCCCCGCCCAUUGCAACGGCUUUAGGUUUUACCCGAGCCAAUCAGAGCAAAGCGGAGGCGGAACCAACAUAGGCGUAUCAAUAAUUACCUUUUAAUUGUUAUUUCCCACGUUAAAUAUGUCGAAAUAUUAUGAUUAUAUUUCGUUUUUUCAAUACAUCAGUUUAAAAAAUUGUAAGGUGAGACUUCUAUAGAACUUAAAUGGGAUCAACUUUCUGGAAUGAAGACAAAAUUCUUCCAGGCAGUCGGAAAAUAGAUGAGAAAAGUAGGUAAACAAAACAGACGCUAAGUGGGAUCAACUGCCUCCAGGACUUUUUUUUUAAAUAAAAUACAAUAAAUUACUGCUUUGAAAAGUCCAUUUUUACUGUUACAAAAGUGGUAUCAAAAUGGCGGUGGCGGUUGAUUUUAAUAUCAAUCCAAAGCUCUUAAUUAAAUUAAGCUCCUGUGCUUAAAAGUUUGAAUCAAGCAACUUACUUUAAUAAAUUAAAAAUUAGUAAAGUUUUUAAUAUAUCAAAUUUCUUGCAGGUGCUGAAUCCAAUGGCAGAAUGCAUAGAUGCCAUACUAUGAUAAUUUAAAGUACACAAAAACACGAAAAAAAAUAACAAAAUAAAUAAAUAGACGCCACUGAAUGCCCCGCCCAUUGCAACGGAAUAAGCUUCUACCCGAGCCAAUCAGAGCAAAGCGGAGGCGGAGCCAGCAUAGGCGUAUCAAUAUUUUGUUUAAAAUUAUUUCCUUACUGUUAAAUAUGUCGAAAUAUUAUGAUCAUAUUUCGUAUUUUAAAUACAUCAUUUCAAGAAAUUUUAAGGUUCUGAGAAAACCAGAAGUCCAUUUUUACUAUUUUAAAAAAUUAUAUCAAUAUGGCGGCCGCAGGUAAUUUUAUGUCAAUCCAGACUACUUAAUUAAAUUAAACUCCUCUGCUUAAGAGUGCCUAAUCAAGCAACUUAUAUGAAUAAAAAGAAGCACGCAUUGCAGUUGUCACAGGAAAUGGCAUGCGAAUUCUGUCGAACACAUUCUGGAUUUAACCGAUGUAAAAUCCAGAAUGUAAUCCACAUUGUCAUGCUCUGCAAAUAUAAAAUAAAUAAUAAAUUUUUUGCAGGUGCUGAAUCCAAUGGCAGAUUGCCUAAAUACUCGAGCCAAUCAGAACAAAGCGGAGGCGGAGCCAGCAUAGGCGUAUCAAGAAUUUUCUUUUAAUUAUUAUUUCCUUAAUGUUAAAAAUGUCGAGAUUUGAUGGUCAUGCUUGGAAUUUUAAAUACAUCAUUUCAAAAAGUUUUAAGUUGGGAUUUCUUCAGAAUAUGAAUUGGAGGAUAUCAAGCACAUUUUUCUUUUACGGUUAAAAAUUACACUUUUUUCUAAGUGCUGAAUCAAAUGGGCAGAAUAC
RNAcentral lists this long non-coding RNA (2524 nucleotides) under Anthonomus grandis grandis. RNAcentral's name for it is "uncharacterized LOC126737515". Lineage: Eukaryota; Metazoa; Arthropoda; Insecta; Coleoptera; Curculionidae. The record is from RNAcentral.